Molecule: ribosomal RNA, 818 nt
Filed under: uncultured bacterium
Lineage: Bacteria
Description: bacterial SSU rRNA
Rfam family: Bacterial small subunit ribosomal RNA
Source: RNAcentral
UCGACGGGCUCAUAUUGAACCUAGUGAUGUAUGAGUUAGUGGCGGACGGGUGAGUAACGCGUGGAGAACCUGCCGUAUACUGGGGGAUAACACUUAGAAAUAGGUGCUAAUACCGCAUAAGCGCACAGCUUCGCAUGAAGCAGUGUGAAAAACUCCGGUGGUAUACGAUGGAUCCGCGUCUGAUUAGCUGGUUGGCGGGGUAACAGCCCACCAAGGCGACGAUCAGUAGCCGGCCUGAGAGGGUGAACGGCCACAUUGGGACUGAGACACGGCCCAAACUCCUACGGGAGGCAGCAGUGGGGAAUAUUGCACAAUGGGGGAAACCCUGAUGCAGCGACGCCGCGUGAGUGAAGAAGUAUUUCGGUAUGUAAAGCUCUAUCAGCAGGGAAGAAAAUGACGGUACCUGACUAAGAAGCCCCGGCUAACUACGUGCCAGCAGCCGCGGUAAUACGUAGGGGGCAAGCGUUAUCCGGAUUUACUGGGUGUAAAGGGAGCGUAGACGGCAGCGCAAGUCUGAAGUGAAAUCCCAUGGCUUAACCAUGGAACUGCUUUGGAAACUGUGCAGCUGGAGUGCAGGAGAGGUAAGCGGAAUUCCUAGUGUAGCGGUGAAAUGCGUAGAUAUUAGGAGGAACACCAGUGGCGAAGGCGGCUUACUGGACUGUAACUGACGUUGAGGCUCGAAAGCGUGGGGAGCAAACAGGAUUAGAUACCCUGGUAGUCCACGCCGUAAACGAUGAUUACUAGGUGUUGGGGGACCAAGGUCCUUCGGUGCCGGCGCAAACGCAUUAAGUAAUCCACCUGGGGAGUACGUUCGCAAG